GGACUGUCAUAUGCAAAAUGGUUUAUUGAGCUCCCUCACUGGGCCAGGAACCAUGCAGAACCUACAGGAUAUAGUCCUUGCUUUGCUUUUCAGGAGAAGAUAUUCUAAGCCACUGCACCCCAUACAUGAGAGAGGACACAGCAGCAUGCAAAUAAUAAUAGCCCACAUCUAUGUUGUAUUGGAAGGCGAUUCAGAGGGAUCAGGGGAGACCCCAACUCAUAGGUCCUGGACUCAAAGCAUCCUAGAUCUGGAGUCAGAAGAGAUCUUAAAAGCCAUAUAUACGAGCAAAGGAUCAUAGUUUCAAAAGGCAGAAAGACCCUCAGAGAUCUAGUGCCCUCUUUUUGCAGAUGGAGAAACUGAGGACCAAAGAUGUUAAAGGACUUCUUUCUUAAAGUUGUACAUAUAGUAAAAAGGAGAGUUAGGAUUUGAAUCCAAGUCCUCUGACUCCACAGCCACAUUGCCUGAUCAUUGGUAGGUCUAAGAUAAUACUUUAUUUAUUUCUGUCAACAGAUAAGUGCUU
This 520-nucleotide long non-coding RNA is filed under the name Monodelphis domestica (gray short-tailed opossum). RNAcentral's name for it is "lncRNA (ENSMODG00000035974.2)". Lineage: Eukaryota; Metazoa; Chordata; Mammalia; Didelphimorphia; Didelphidae. The record is from RNAcentral.